Non-coding RNA from Coturnix japonica (Japanese quail), 191 nucleotides. The record is from RefSeq and is a predicted model, not a curated record. Lineage: Eukaryota; Metazoa; Chordata; Aves; Galliformes; Phasianidae.
CAGUCGCUGGCUGCGGUGGCUGCUGCCCCACGGGAGGAGCUGGCACUGUGCCCAGGGAUCGGACCCCAAAAGGCCAAGCGUCUGUUUGAAGCCCUACACGAACCCUUCCUGAAGACCCCCAAAAACCCCACAACUGCCCUUUGAUCCUAUAAACCAACGAACCCAUAAACACAACAAGCGCCGCACUGCGA